This 309-nucleotide ribosomal RNA is filed under the name uncultured Spirochaetales bacterium. RNAcentral's name for it is "bacterial SSU rRNA". It matches the Rfam family "Bacterial small subunit ribosomal RNA", at positions 521 to 829 of the family's 1533-position model. Lineage: Bacteria; Pseudomonadati; Spirochaetota; Spirochaetia; Spirochaetales. The record is from RNAcentral.
UAACACGUAAGGAGCGAGCGUUGUUCGGAAUUAUUGGGCGUAAAGGGCAUGUAGGCGGUUUUUUAAGUCCGAUGUGAAAUACCACAGCUUAACUGUGGGAACGCAUUGGAAACUGAAAGACUUGAAUCAGUAAGGGGUAACCGGAAUUCCUAGUGUAGGGGUGAAAUCUGUUGAUAUUAGGAAGAACACCGAUGGCGAAGGCAGGUUACUGGUACAUGAUUGACGCUGAGAUGCGAAAGCGUAGGGAGCGAACAGGAUUAGAUACCCUGGUAGUCUACGCUGUAAACGAUGUGCACUUGGUGUCGGGGU